Orcinus orca (killer whale) is the source of this 1396-nucleotide long non-coding RNA. RefSeq lists it as uncharacterized. Lineage: Eukaryota; Metazoa; Chordata; Mammalia; Artiodactyla; Delphinidae. The record is from RefSeq and is a predicted model, not a curated record. The transcript has 2 exons.
AUGAAACUGCAAAAAUAGUUAUUAUCUUCUCUUAUAGGAAGCACAAGUACAGCAGUUAUAUAGGCAAUUCUCCAACAAUUUCAAAAAGAGUUAAUUCCAAUCCUUUACAAAAUCUCUGAAUAUGAAAAAGGAGGGAACUACAUCUUAAUUUAUUCUGUGAAGCUAGUUUAACUUGAUAACAAAACCAGAUGAAGACAGGAUAAGAAAGGCACACUAGAGUGUCUUUUUACCCAUGAGUGUAUAUAUAAGAAUUAAAACAAAUUAUUGGCACAAUAAAUAAAGCAGUCAUUAGAUGAUUUUUCAUUUUGACAAACAGACAAACAUAAAUGCAACUGGAGUCCUACAGGCAGAAGAAAGUAGAGAACAAGGUAGAAGUAAUAUUUGACUAAGAAUUUUCCAAAAACAAUGAAAAAUAUCAAGCCAAAGGUCCAUGUCUGGAAAACCUCAGGUAGAAUAAAUAAUGAGCAAUAUAGACAACAAAAACCUCAAAUAACCAACCAAAUAACCCCACCCACAAAUCUAAACUCGUCAUUUUUGAACUGCUGACAAUCAAUGAUAAAGAGAAAAUCUUGAGACAUCAAGAAAAUAAAGACAUUAAAUCAGAGGAAUAAAGAUAAGAAGUAUAUGUCAUAACUGGAAGACAAUGGUAUGACAUCUUUAAAGUUCUGAAUCUCAAAACUGUCAGCCCAGAAUUCUAGUCACGAUAAAAAUAUUUUCAAAGUCAAGGUGUCAGGAGCUCAGCUGAGCUAGAGACAGCUGAGCUGCCAGGUGUUGGAGUAGCCAAUUUAGACAACAAGGCAAAAUGAAAAUAACAGACAAGUUUUUAAUCACUUACUGUCACAGUACAAGCAAGAGGCUAAACAGGAGAAAGCACUGACUCCUCCAUUCCAUUUUCCCUCAAGGAAUGGUGCCUCAGUUAAGGGUUAAGUGGAUUAGCACAGAUGUGGGGCUUGUGUCACUGCUGAGGGAGCCCUGAUCAGAAAGCUCCCGCAAUUUCAUGGACCUGGAAGCCAGGGGCAGGGAGAGUAGGCUAGACUUGGAAAAGUACUGAGUGCUGAGUCAGUGCGGAGAACAAGGCUUCAAGAUUCCCUCCCCUCUUCCCAACAAAGGGGUUUCAGCAGAAGUGUCUGACAAAGGCUUCUGCCAAGAGCCCCAGUGAAGAGGCCUCCAGGGGCACUUGAACUAGGAAUGCAGAUAUACAUAAGAGCAUAGGUGGAUGGGGGAUGGGGGGGUGGGGGGGGUGGGGACGAGGGUGGGGGUGGAGGGGUGGGGACGAGGGUGGGGGUGGGGUGGGCCUGCUGCAAUUCCUUUCAGAGACUGCAAUGCACAGGCUGUGCUCCAAGUCUGGUGUGGGGAGGGCAGCCAGAUAAAGCUAUAAAAAAUUAAUAAACAGAAA